This is a non-coding RNA of Dermacentor albipictus, 278 nucleotides long. Lineage: Eukaryota; Metazoa; Arthropoda; Arachnida; Ixodida; Ixodidae. The record is from RefSeq and is a predicted model, not a curated record.
CCGGCCGCGCAUCUGAGCGUUGGCCUGUUGCUUCGCCCGUCUGCAUGCCUGUUUUUCAAUUUUGUAUUUAGCCUAGUUUGGUGGGCUCCAGGCGAAUUCUUGCGUUCCUCUGAACUCCGACAUGGCACCGUUGCACUAUUAGACUAUGGCAAGCUGACGUCAUCUGGUGGAGCUUCCUACGGAAACUACUGCUGCUUACCUGGUGCCACAACGUUGGAUGAAUGCACAAAAAGCCCGCAACGAGCAUUUAUAAAGAAUAAAAUAUACAUUUCCACAUU